This is a long non-coding RNA of Brienomyrus brachyistius, 2009 nucleotides long. RefSeq lists it as uncharacterized. The record is from RefSeq and is a predicted model, not a curated record. The transcript has 2 exons. NCBI's taxonomy places the organism in Eukaryota, Metazoa, Chordata, Actinopteri, Osteoglossiformes, Mormyridae.
GCUACCUGGAAGAACAGAGAACAAAGAAUCGAGCACCAAAUGUGGAGACCCCCCGCAGUAGUGAAGUCAUUUGGGUGAACUUUGGAUUUGAACUGACAACCUUCUAAUUGCUAACAUGGCAGCCUAACCUGCUAAGCCACUAUCCCUCCAGCCAAGUGCUGUUUUAACAUUAAUAGAUGAUAUACUUAUUUCAGCCAGGAGAAAUUCAUGAAAGGCACCAAUGGGAUUUGGACCCCGGAUCUCCAGUUUACAAGACAGGCGUUUUAACCAUCUAAGUCACAGUGCCAUUCCAGCUUAAAGUAUGAAGUAAUACAGCUUAAUGUUAUUUUAUGAUAAUUGGACAUAAAAUGUUGUUGGAAACUGGUUUCCUCGGAUAUUCCAGAGAAAUGCAGUUAGACUAACUGGUGUCUCUCCAUUGCCUGUGGUGUGUGAUUAUGAGCAUGUGCAUGCAUGUCCAUUGUGAUGAAUGUAAUCUGUUAAUUGGAAAUGGUUCCUGCAUUUAAUGCAAUUGUCCUGUAAUGAAUCCUUUGAUUUUGUUAAAAUUGACCAGUCCGCUUCAGUUACUGAUAUUGAGAAGAUCCUUGAAACUCCGGAAGGGAAGUGAGGUAUCUGGUCUCGCCUGAAUAUCUGGGGAUGGGCGAGGAGCACUUGGCACUGACUUGAUUUCCAUCAUUUCCAUUUCAUGGGAAAGUCACCGGGAGCCCAACUUAUGGUUUCAGAUGCUUUGUCUAUAUAACAAUGAUGUUCUUCUUCUUGGGGCAGCACAAUAUGACAGCGGCAAAUCAGUGAAAGCGAAUCUGAGGAAUUUAGAAAUUCGAACUGCAUUCUCAGAAGCUCAGUUGGAAACUCUCUCAUCAUAUUUAGCACUGUUUUGUGCGUUAUGUCCUUUUUUGAAGCGCGACUGCAAAUGUUGUGCAUGAGGCUGAAAUACAAGAACAUGAAACCUCUAAAAGCCUAAUAAAAGUGCAGCUCAUUCCAGAUAACCAAGACCUCGAACCCAGAAACAAGAUGCUAGUUAACCAAAGUCGCAUACCGGGAAACUCAACGCCAGCUAACCAAAACCACAAACCCGGAACCAAGACCUCAGAGAAAGACCAAAUAUGGCGGACUACUCCUCUUCUUCAUCAUCAUCACAAUCAUCAAGAAAAUGCAGCCAUUCUGGACCGUCGGCAUCAGUGAUGUCUUCUUUCUCUGAAAAGUCCCUUGUAUUAGAAAUCCCCUCCUCUAGGUCACUGUCACCUUUCAGAUCCAGAGAUAACGACUCGCAGGCUGUUAUCUUUAGGUCUGUUCGCCGUGCACGGAUGCACCAAUGGCUAAGAGAAAUCUGAGUAAGAAGAUAUUUAGAGAAGAGCAAUUAAAACAGAUAAUAAAUUCACCAACAGCAACGAUGCAUCAAGGAUAUUUGUUUAUUUUGGAUCUUUGAAAGUUCCUACACACAUUAAAGGCCAUAUUACAGAAUAACCCGCAGAAUCGUCUUUGUAUAUAAAAUCUGCACAGAUAUUCAAAAACAUUUCCAAGUCCAAACACCGUCUGAGUUCAUGGCCUCAAUGGCAGAAAAGUUGUAAAAUUUUACUGAAAAACAAAGAGAUUAAUGCUGUCAUGUUAAACAUUUCGAAUGGGUCAAACUGACCUGCAACUUAAUAGGAGGGUUGAAAUAAACUGACGUAAACACAAGCGUCCUCAGAUUUUUCCCGAAAUGCCGUCUAAUUUCUAAUAUAUCAGUUUUAUUUCUUUGGCAUGGUGACACAGAGGAUGCUUGGGAUUCGUGACUCAUCUGAGAAAGAUUUGUGGUAGGAUGUGCAAACACCAGUUGUGGAAAGACUGAAAUCCCUUUCAGAAUGUAAACAGAUUAAUUUUAUUCGAUAAAUACAGAUGUCUAUGGAUGUCAACAGAUGUCUGUAUUCCUUCCCGGCAACAUUUCUUUGUUUUUAGUUUAUUCUGUUAUUAUAAUGUUUUGAAUCCAUGAUGUUUCCAUUAAAAACGACUUCUUUAAAAUGAUGACUUCAAAA